This 104-nucleotide small nuclear RNA is filed under the name Mus musculus (house mouse). It matches the Rfam family "Small nucleolar RNA U3", at positions 111 to 219 of the family's 219-position model. Rfam says of the family: Small nucleolar RNAs (snoRNAs) are involved in the processing and modification of rRNA in the nucleolus. There are two main classes of snoRNAs: the box C/D class, and the box H/ACA class. The record is from RNAcentral. Lineage: Eukaryota; Metazoa; Chordata; Mammalia; Rodentia; Muridae.
GUGAAGCCGGCUAUUAGUGCUGCAUUUUGCAACUGCUAUCUGCCAUUGAUGAUCGUUCUCAACUCUCUUGAGGGUUGAGAGGGAGAGGACACAGUCUGAGUGGU